ACACGACUACAUUAGAUACCCGCGUAGUCCUAGCCGUAAACGAUACUCGCUAGGUGUCGGCCACGGUGCGACCGUUGUCGGUGCCGUAGGGAAGCCGUGAAGCGAGCCACCUGGGAAGUACGGCCGCAAGCUGAAACUUAAAGGAAUUGGCGGGGGAGCACCACAACGGGUGGAGCUUGCGGUUUAAUUGGAUUCAACGCCGGAAAUCUUACCGGGACCGACAGCAACAUGAAGGCCAGGCCGAAGACUUUGCCGGAUUAGCUG
This 264-nucleotide ribosomal RNA is filed under the name uncultured archaeon. RNAcentral's name for it is "partial 16S ribosomal RNA". It matches the Rfam family "Archaeal small subunit ribosomal RNA", at positions 717 to 982 of the family's 1478-position model. The record is from RNAcentral.